Molecule: long non-coding RNA, 1617 nt
Organism: Salvelinus fontinalis (brook trout)
Lineage: Eukaryota; Metazoa; Chordata; Actinopteri; Salmoniformes; Salmonidae
Exons: 6
Source: RefSeq, a predicted model, not a curated record
ACGAACAGGCAUAUGACUUUGUACAGUUGACCUCUUCAUGCACUUGUAAGGUGUCUACCACUGAUUCUUAAUCUCAAGCUAAAGCAAAACAUCAAUCAUUGUACUUUUUCAAUCACAGGUGUUCCUAUAAUGUACAUGUCACGGCUGUCGUCUUCCUCUUCCUCGGACGAGGAGAGGAGAGAAGGAUCGGUGGACCAAUACGCAGCGAGGCAAUCAUAUCUACCUCAGGGGGAAGGAUGGCCAGCCACACAGGACGGUGAUUUUUACUAAGGAGGAGAAGGAGGCCGUGCUGACAGAGAUGCAUGCUGGACAUUUCGGAGUGAAGUGCAUGAAUGCCAAAAUCAACCUACGCUUCUUCUGACAGGGAAUUGUCAAGGAGGGGGACAGCUGGGCAAGUGAAAUAACCUUUUGUUUAUCAAUCACAUUCUAUUAUAUCUGAAAUUAUUAUGAUUUCAAUUAAUGUCACAUCAGAGAGCACACAAUGUUAAAGUUGUCACUUUUUGAGAAAUUGGUCAGUACCCUGUCUAGCCUGCCAGAAGUUUGAGAGGGCAAAGACUGUGGCACCGGAGUUGAAACCCAUCAAAGUUGUUUCACCACGGCACAUGAUCGGGGUGGACCUCAUCGGACCCUUCACGAAAUCCAGGAAUGUCAACAGCUGGUGUCUGACGGCGACCGAUCACUUUACCAAGUGGGUGGAGGCAAUACCCAUUAUGGACGAGACUAGCGAAGCCACCUCCAAGGCGAUGGUGGAGUAUCUUCAACAACCGCGGUUCUCCUGAGGUCAUCUUGAGUGACCGAGGUCAUGAACAUUGGAACAAGGUUUGGUGAAUGGACCAACCAGACCCUCAAGACUGCCAUGGGCAAAUCCUUUGAUACCAGGUAGGGUGGUAGAACAACCUGAAGGUAAUUCUCUUUGCGCACAACAGCAGCAUCCAGGUCGAGUACGGACGGAGCCGCAGCUGUUGACUGAGGUAAACAAUGCAGUUGCAUAUACAAUUAUUGCAUAUACUGUAGUCUUUCAAAUGUGCGAUUGACUUAGUGUUGUUUGUCUAUUGCUAUUUUUGUAUAACGUACUUUCAGAUCACUGAAACCCCACCUGAUGUGGUGGAAGUUGACAAACCAGAUCAGAACGCCUUUGUGUACUACCUUCAGGCACGGACUGAGAAGGAUGUGGCAGUUUUUGACCAGGACCUAGGGGUUCUGCCCAACACCCAGACGUGGAUCCACCUGAUGUCCUCCAUUACCUGUUCUCCAGGACCUAGGGGUUCUGCCCAACACCCAGACGUGGAUCCACCUGAUGUCCUCCAUUACCAACCACCCUCCAAGUUCUCAUUACAUCAGCUAUUGUUAUUGUCAUGUUGUCAUUAUCUGCCAAGAAAGUGUCUUGCUCUAUCAUACUGAGCACAUAAUAUGUGAGAUACACAGAUGAACUACUGCAAACACUCAGAACAAAGAGAGCAGCAGUCUCCCUCUUCAAGUUCCCCUUCUGAGAUUGGCUGCCUGUUGAGAACAAGUGACAGGCAGAAUUCCACACACUAGAAUUCAGUAUUUUAGUCUAUAAUAUCCAUGUGAGUGUACAACAAAUCUGUGAAAAUAAAUUAAUGACACAAGUGUACC